This 482-nucleotide ribosomal RNA is filed under the name uncultured bacterium. Its description in RNAcentral is "partial 16S ribosomal RNA". It matches the Rfam family "Bacterial small subunit ribosomal RNA", at positions 30 to 507 of the family's 1533-position model. The record is from RNAcentral.
AUUGAACGCUGGCGGCAUGCCUUACACAUGCAAGUCGAACGGUAACGGGCCUUCGGGUGCCGACGAGUGGCGAACGGGUGCGUAAUACAUCGGAACGUGCCCGAUCGUGGGGGAUAACGAGGCGAAAGCUUUACUAAUACCGCAUACGAUCUACGCUUGAAAGCAGGGGACCGCAAGGCUUUUCGCGGCCGUUGCGGCCGCUGGCAGAUUAGGUAGUUGGUGGGAUAAAAGCUUACCAAGCCGACGAUCUGUAGCUGGUCUGAGAGGAUGAUCAGCCACACUGGGACUGAGACACGGCCCAGACUCCUACGGGAGGCAGCAGUGGGGAAUUUUGGACAAUGGGCGCAAGCCUGAUCCAGCCAUGCCGCGUGCAGGAUGAAGGCCUUCGGGUUGUAAACUGCUUUUGUACGGAACGAAAAGCCUUGUUUUAAUACAGGAGGGUCAUGACGGUACCGUAAGAAUAAGCACCGGCUAACUACGUG